Molecule: unclassified non-coding RNA, 253 nt
Filed under: uncultured Trueperaceae bacterium
Lineage: Bacteria; Thermotogati; Deinococcota; Deinococci; Trueperales; Trueperaceae
Description: contains 16S-23S intergenic spacer region
Rfam family: Bacterial small subunit ribosomal RNA
Source: RNAcentral
UACGGAGGGUGCAAGCGUUAUCCGGAAUCACUGGGCGUAAAGGGCGCGUAGGUGGUCUGUUAAGUCUGGCGUUAAAGCCUGGGGCUCAACCCCAGAUCAGCGUUGGAUACUGGCAGGCUAGACGGUUGGAGAGGCGAGUAGAAUUACCAGUGUAGCGGUGGAAUGCGUAGAUACUGGUAGGAAUACCCAUUGCGAAGGCAGCUCGCUGGACAACACGUGACACUGAGGCGCGAAAGUGUGGGGAGCAAACCGG